This 360-nucleotide ribosomal RNA is filed under the name uncultured eukaryote. Its description in RNAcentral is "SSU rRNA". It matches the Rfam family "Eukaryotic small subunit ribosomal RNA", at positions 567 to 972 of the family's 1831-position model. The record is from RNAcentral.
CCAGCAGCUGCGGUAAUUCCAGCUCCAAUAGCGUAUAUUAAAGUUGUUGCAGUUAAAACGCUCGUAGUCUGGUGUGGUGUGGGGAGGGGGUGGAUGUUGUGAAAUAUUCUCCCCCACCCCGCAUGUUCUGACAGCAAUGUCGGGGUUACUUUGAGGAAAUUAGAGCGUUCAAGGCAGGCUAUCGCCCUGAAUACACAAGCUUGGAAUAAUGAAAUAGGACUUUUUCCAUUUUAUUGGUUAUUGGAGAGAGUAAUGAUUAAUAGGGACAGUUGGGGGCAUUAGUAUUUCGUUGUCAGAGGUGAAAUUCUUGGAUUUACGAAAGACUAACUUAUGCGAAAGCAUUUGCCAAGGAUGUUUUCA